Molecule: transfer RNA, 99 nt
Filed under: Rostrohypoxylon terebratum
Lineage: Eukaryota; Fungi; Ascomycota; Sordariomycetes; Xylariales; Hypoxylaceae
Description: tRNA-Val
Source: RNAcentral
AGUCGCGUGGUCUAAUGGUUAUGAUUUCUCGUUCACAUUGAUGUGUUCCCACUACUAUAAGUCCCGAGAAGGUUCCGUGUUCGAUCCACGGCGUGACUA